UACGGGGGGGAGCAGUGUUGUCGGAUUUACUGGGCGUAAAGGGCGCGUAGGCGGCCUCCGCAAGUCGACUGUGAAAUCUCCGGGCUUAACCCGGAACGGUCAGCCGAUACUGCGGGGCUAGAGUGCAGAAGGGGCAACUGGAAUUCUCGGUGUAGCGGUGAAAUGCGUAGAUAUCGAGAGGAACACCUGCGGCGAAGGCGGGUCUCUGGGCCGAUGACUGACGCUGAGGAGCGAAAGCGUGGGGAGCGAACAGG
RNAcentral lists this ribosomal RNA (254 nucleotides) under uncultured bacterium. RNAcentral describes it as "partial 16S ribosomal RNA". It matches the Rfam family "Bacterial small subunit ribosomal RNA", at positions 524 to 776 of the family's 1533-position model. The record is from RNAcentral.